Molecule: non-coding RNA, 24 nt
Filed under: Arabidopsis thaliana (thale cress)
Lineage: Eukaryota; Viridiplantae; Streptophyta; Magnoliopsida; Brassicales; Brassicaceae
Source: RNAcentral
CAUAUUGUUUUGUACACAUUCAGC